UCUGGUUGAUCCUGCCAGUAGUCAUAUGCUUGUCUCAAAGAUUAAGCCAUGCAUGUCUAAGUAUAAAUAGUAUACAGUGAAACUGCGAAUGGCUCAUUAAAACAGUUAUAGUUUAUUUGAUAAUUGACAAUUACAUGGAUAACCGUGGUAAUUCUAGAGCUAAUACAUGCUUAAACGCCCGACUUUAUGGAAGGGUGGUAUUUAUUAGACUGAAGCCAAUAUUCCUUGUGUCUAUUGCGGUGAUUCAUAAUAACUGAUCGAAUCUCUUUUUGAGAUAAAUCAUUCAAGUUUCUGCCUAUCAGCUUUCGAUGGUAGUGUAUUGGACUACCAUGGCAGUAACGGGUAACGAAGAAUUAGGGUUCGAUUUCGGAGAGGGAGCAUGAGAAACGGCUACCACAUCUAAGGAAGGCAGCAGGCGCGUAAAUUACCCAAUCCUGACUCAGGGAGGUAGUGACAAGAAAUAGCAAACCGGGAACCUCAUGGUUUCACGGUAUUGCAAUGAGAACAAUUUAAAACCCUUAGCGAGAAUCAAGUGGAGGACAAGUCUGGUGCCAGCACCCGCGGUAAUUCCAGCUCCACUAGCGUAUAUUAAAGUUGUUGCAGUUAAAAAGCUCGUAGUUGAACCUCUGUCUGGGGCUAGUUUUGGCUUUGGUCAGGCUAGUUCUAGGCAUCCGCCUACAAGACUUAGAGGGCAUUCAGUUGUUCACUAGGAGGAGUAGGCAUUUUACUUUGAAAAAAUUAGAGUGUUUAAGGCAGGCAAUCGCCCGCAUAUAUUAGCAUGGAAUAAUAGAAUAGGACACUUUUCCAUUUCGUUGGUUAUUGGAAUCGUGUAAUGAUUAAUAGGGACAGUUGUGGGCAUUUGUAUUUAAUUGUCAGAGGUGAAAUUCUUGGAUUUAUUAAAGACAAACUAACGCGAAAGCAUUUGCCAAGGAUGUUUUCAUUAAUCAAGAACGAAAGUUAGGGGAUCAAAGACGAUCAGAUACCGUCCUAGUCUUAACUAUAAACUAUUCCGACUCAAUGUUUGACUGGCUUAUAUAACCAGUUGAGCGUUGUAUGAGAAAUCAAAGUCUUUAGGUUCUGGGGGGAGUAUGGUUGCAAAGCUGAAACUUAAAGGAAUUGACGGAAGAGCACAACCAGGAGUGGAUUCUGCGGCUUAAUUUGACUCAACACGGGGAAACUUACCAGGUUAAAACAAUAGUGGGAUUGACAGUUUGAGAGCGCUUUCUUGAUUGGUUGGGUGGUGGUGCAUGGCCGUUCUUAGUUGGUGGAGUGAUUUGUCUGCUUAAUUGCGUUAACG
RNAcentral lists this ribosomal RNA (1297 nucleotides) under metagenome. Its description in RNAcentral is "SSU rRNA". It matches the Rfam family "Eukaryotic small subunit ribosomal RNA", at positions 1 to 1333 of the family's 1831-position model. The record is from RNAcentral.